This 109-nucleotide ribosomal RNA is filed under the name Aeromonas caviae. The record is from RNAcentral. Lineage: Bacteria; Pseudomonadati; Pseudomonadota; Gammaproteobacteria; Aeromonadales; Aeromonadaceae.
UGACGGCAAUACCGCCGUGGAACCACCUGAUCCCAUGCCGAACUCAGAAGUGAAACGCGGUAGCGCCGAUGGUAGUGUGGCAUUCGCCAUGCGAGAGUAGGACACUGUC